This 605-nucleotide long non-coding RNA is filed under the name Elaeis guineensis (African oil palm). RNAcentral's name for it is "long non-coding RNA (EGUI_LNC010259)". The record is from RNAcentral. Lineage: Eukaryota; Viridiplantae; Streptophyta; Magnoliopsida; Arecales; Arecaceae.
UCCUCCUCUCAAGAUUUGUAUUUGGUUGCUACAUAAUUAGUUUGUGAGAUGUAUAUUACGUGGCCAUAGCAUAUAUAUUGAUGAACAUCGUAUUUUAAAAGUUAUAUUAAUUUACUUGAAGAUGUGUAUUAAGUUAUUGUUAGGUAUGCAUCAAAGAAGCAUAUAGUAUGUAUUAGGAUGCUGACGAGUGUGCAUCACUUGAUCAUGUACUAUACAGUGAUGAAUAUGAUAUUUUAAAAAUUAUGUAUCGAUUUAUUUGAAGAUAUAUAUUAGAUGACUAAUAUGUAAGGUAUGUAUUGUCUAAUCAUAUACUGUAUACUCAUAAAUACUAUAUUUUAGAAGUUGUAUAUUGUUUUACUUGUAGCUAUAUAUUGGUUCGUUGAUUUGUAUAUAUCAAAGAAGAUUAAAGCAUGUACAAGCAAACCGUCAAGUGUAUAAUAACCUCAAAUUCCGUAUGACAUAAUUCUAAGUUUCGUAUUUGGCAAGGUAUUCAAAACUUUUGCAAUUCUUGAAAUAACGCUGCCAUCUUCAUUUCAAUCAAAAGCCCUAGGGGCUGAUGGAGGAGGAAAAUCCCACAAACAGAUGGAGAGAGGCUUGACCCGGAA